Long non-coding RNA from Oreochromis niloticus (Nile tilapia), 437 nucleotides. RefSeq lists it as uncharacterized. The record is from RefSeq and is a predicted model, not a curated record. Lineage: Eukaryota; Metazoa; Chordata; Actinopteri; Cichliformes; Cichlidae. The transcript is spliced from 3 exons.
UUGUAAUUUAAUAAGUUGAUUUUAGAGUGUGUUUAUAGAGAAAUUGAUUUAUUGUUGUAAUAUGUAUUGAUUACACUGUAGAGUUUUAUUGCUAGGGAAGCGUAGCAGUAUACGUUUGAGUAGGGAAAUGUUUGUCUUACCUAUGUAAUGGAGUAGUCCAGGGGGGAGAUUGUUUGGUUAUUUAAGCUGAUGAACGCGGCUGUUCGAAAAGAAAGGAUCAGCUUUCCAACAGAGGAUGGAACCUGACUGCAGGCAUUUGGUUCUACUCAGCCAUAAGAGCAUUAGUGAGGUCGACCUGCGGUCAGCAAACUGGCUCACAGUCAGCGUUCAGUUCCCAGAGGUCUCGCUUGGGGUGGAGGUCACGGCUCUGUGCAGCACCUUGGAAGGAUGAGAAACCUUACUUGACAACCUUACUUGGCAGAGGACACACGAGGACA